This 72-nucleotide transfer RNA is filed under the name Verrucomicrobiota bacterium. RNAcentral describes it as "Verrucomicrobia bacterium (mine drainage metagenome) tRNA-Met". It matches the Rfam family "tRNA". From Rfam's summary of the family: Transfer RNA (tRNA) molecules are approximately 80 nucleotides in length. Their secondary structure includes four short double-helical elements and three loops (D, anti-codon, and T loops). The record is from RNAcentral. Lineage: Bacteria; Pseudomonadati; Verrucomicrobiota.
CGCAGGAUGGACAAGUGGCUAAGUCACCGGGCUCAUAUCCCGGAGUCGCGGGUUCGACUCCCGCUCCUGCUA